GCCCCCGUAGCCCAACCGGCAGAGGCAAACGACUUAAAAUCGUUACAGAGUGGGUUCGAAUCCCACCGGGGGUACUA
RNAcentral lists this transfer RNA (77 nucleotides) under Actinomycetes bacterium. RNAcentral's name for it is "Actinobacteria bacterium tRNA-Leu". It matches the Rfam family "tRNA". From Rfam's summary of the family: Transfer RNA (tRNA) molecules are approximately 80 nucleotides in length. Their secondary structure includes four short double-helical elements and three loops (D, anti-codon, and T loops). The record is from RNAcentral. Lineage: Bacteria; Bacillati; Actinomycetota; Actinomycetes.